This 572-nucleotide ribosomal RNA is filed under the name uncultured Actinomycetes bacterium. RNAcentral describes it as "bacterial SSU rRNA". It matches the Rfam family "Bacterial small subunit ribosomal RNA", at positions 102 to 687 of the family's 1533-position model. The record is from RNAcentral. Lineage: Bacteria; Bacillati; Actinomycetota; Actinomycetes.
ACGGGUGAGUAACACGUGAGUAAUCUGCCUCUGGCUUCGGGAUAGCCACCGGAAACGGUGAUUAAUACCGGAUACGACACAUCACUGCAUGGUGCGUGUGUGGAAAGUUUUUUCGGCCAGGGAUGUGCUCGCGGCCUAUCAGCUUGUUGGUGGGGUAAUGGCCUACCAAGGCUUCGACGGGUAGCCGGCCUGAGAGGGUGACCGGCCACACUGGGACUGAGACACGGCUCAGACUCCUACGGGAGGCAGCAGUGGGGAAUAUUGGACAAUGGGCGGAAGCCUGAUCCAGCAACGCCGCGUGAGGGAUGACGGCCUUCGGGUUGUAAACCUCUUUCAGCACAGACGAAGCGCAAGUGACGGUAUGUGCAGAAGAAGGACCGGCCAACUACGUGCCAGCAGCCGCGGUAAUACGUAGGGUCCGAGCGUUGUCCGGAAUUAUUGGGCGUAAAGGGCUCGUAGCCGGUUUGUCGCGUCGGGAGUGAAAACACCGGGCUUAACUCGGUGCUUGCUUUCGAUACGGGCAGACUAGAGGCAUUCAGGGGAGAACGGAAUUCCUGGUGUAGCGGUGAAAU